RNAcentral lists this transfer RNA (58 nucleotides) under Dryobates pubescens (Downy woodpecker). RNAcentral describes it as "Picoides pubescens (downy woodpecker) tRNA". It matches the Rfam family "tRNA", at positions 8 to 63 of the family's 71-position model. Rfam says of the family: Transfer RNA (tRNA) molecules are approximately 80 nucleotides in length. Their secondary structure includes four short double-helical elements and three loops (D, anti-codon, and T loops). Lineage: Eukaryota; Metazoa; Chordata; Aves; Piciformes; Picidae. The record is from Rfam by way of RNAcentral.
UAGCUCAGUUGGUAGAGCAUGAGACUCUUAAUCUCAGGGUCGUGGGUUUGGGCCCCGC